Molecule: ribosomal RNA, 466 nt
Filed under: uncultured bacterium
Lineage: Bacteria
Description: partial 16S ribosomal RNA
Rfam family: Bacterial small subunit ribosomal RNA
Source: RNAcentral
ACGAACGCUGGCGGCGUGCUUCACACAUGCAAGUCGAACGGAAAGGCCCUGCUUUUGUGGGGUGCUCGAGUGGCGAACGGGUGAGUAACACGUGAGUAACCUGCCCUUGACUUUGGGAUAACUUCAGGAAACUGGGGCUAAUACCGGAUAGGAGCUCCUGCUGCAUGGUGGGGGUUGGAAAGUUUCGGCGGUUGGGGAUGGACUCGCGGCUUAUCAGCUUGUUGGUGGGGUAGUGGCUUACCAAGGCUUUGACGGGUAGCCGGCCUGAGAGGGUGACCGGCCACAUUGGGACUGGGAUACGGCCCAGACUCCUACGGGAGGCAGCAGUGGGGAAUAUUGCACGAUGGGCGGAAGCCUGAUGCAGCAACGCCGCGUGCGGGAUGACGGCCUUCGGGUUGUAAACCGCUUUCGCCGGUGACGAAGCGUGAGUGACGGUAAUGGGUAAAGAAGCACCGGCUAACUACGU